RNAcentral lists this ribosomal RNA (564 nucleotides) under uncultured archaeon. RNAcentral describes it as "bacterial SSU rRNA". It matches the Rfam family "Archaeal small subunit ribosomal RNA", at positions 515 to 1079 of the family's 1478-position model. The record is from RNAcentral.
GCGUCCGUAGCCUGCCGUGUAAGUUUCCCGUUAAAUCCAGCGUCUUAAGCGUUGGACCGCGGGAAAUACUGUACGGCUAGAGAGUGGGAGAGGUCAGCGGUAUUCUGGGGGUAGGGGCGAAAUCCUUUGAUCCCCGGAGGACCACCAGUGGCGAAGGCUGCUGUCUAGAACACGUCUGACGGUCAGGGACGAAAGCUGGGGUAGCGAACCGGAUUAGAUACCCGGGUAGUCCCAGCCGUAAACGAUGCAUGCUAGGUGUUGGGUUGGCCACGAGCCACCCCAGUGCCGCAGGGAAGCCGUUAAGCAUGCCGCCUGGGAAGUACGAUCGCAAGGUUGAAACUUAAAGGAAUUGGCGGGGGAGCACCACCAGGCGUGAAGCCUGCGGUUUAAUUGGAGUCAACGCCGGGAACCUUACCGGGAGCGACAGCAGAGUGAAGGUCAGAUUGAAGAUCUUACCAGACGAGCUGAGAGGAGGUACAUGGCCGUCGCCAGUUCGUGCCGUGAGGUGUUAUGUUAAGUCAUAUAACGAACGAGACCCGUGCCGCAUGUUGCCACCAGAAUCUA